Molecule: long non-coding RNA, 2715 nt
Filed under: Panax ginseng (ginseng)
Lineage: Eukaryota; Viridiplantae; Streptophyta; Magnoliopsida; Apiales; Araliaceae
Description: long non-coding RNA (PGIN_LNC011620)
Source: RNAcentral
AUAUGCAUUCAUGUAUUGGUUCCUUUUGAGUGCUAGAAUUUUCGACUAGCAGCUAUUUAUUCCUUUCUUUGUAUUGUUAGUUUUUCAUUUCCAUUUAUGGACCUGUCCAGCCUUGUGUUUUGAAAACAGAUUUUAUUAGCUGCUAUAUGUUGUACACAAUGACAAAGAUGAUGCAAAGGUUGUCUUACUUUGUCAACAUUAUUGUUGUUAGAGCACAUAGCAUGCAUAGAACAUUUGUUAUUGAUAUCAGAUACAAUAGCUUGAGAAAACAAAGGAUAAUAGUUCCAAUGCAGUUGAAAUUAAGAACAUGAAGAAGGUAGAGGAGAGGAGAUGAAAUUGCAGUGAGAAGGCAGGGAAAGUGAGAUAAGUCUGAUUUGCUAAUCAUUGGGGAUGACAAAGUUCUUUCUGACCUGAACCAAACACCAACUUCAUUAGUAAAACUGGUCUCCUAUUGUUGUUUAAGUCAUCAUACUAGGAAGCUGGAUGUUUUUAAUUUGGGAGGGAGGGAUAUGUAUAAGCCAGAUGAUAAUAUCAUUGAAUGACUAUGAACAUGGUUACUGUAGACCAGCAUUUAGAUUCUGAAACUGCUGGUAUGUUUUCUUCCAUUUCGUAAUCUUCUUCACUUCCAUCAAACAGAAAUCUGCCUCUUUUGCCUGUAUGAAAUUGAUAUGUAUCCAUCAAUAAUGCAUCAUCAUUUGUAUGUUCAUCCCAAAAUGGCCCAGGGAAAAAGAGAAGGGGAAAAAAUAAGACAUGAUAUACAUGGAGCACAAAUGGAGAUGACCAACUCUCUGUUGUUCUUCGAGGGAAUUUGAAAUAAUUAGCAAAUACAGAAAAACUAUCAAAAGAUGUAUAAAAACAAUAUAUUAUAAAUAACAAACAAUAAGCAAAAAUAUUUUCAUCAAUAUCUUGAGAAUGACAUUCAAUACAGUGUAGGUGCAGUGCUUCUAGAGUGCAAUGAUGUCAAAAACUAUCUGUCAAGUUAAUGGAUGGUGGAUGCUAAACUUCAAAAUUGAAAUUUUCAGUUGGCUGCUUAAAAAACUAGGAAAGUGAAAGCAAUAUUGAUAAGUGAUCAUAGGACUUUUUAUUCCUCUAUUGGUACAUACACACAACAAAUAAACAUGAACUGUUCAUCUCUCUAUGUUCCAUUAUUUUUUUAACCUUAUUGUGAUACCACAUUAUAUAAACAAAAAGGAAAACGUAAGGCACGAGAGAAUAAUCAAACGACGCAAAAGCCUUUUUAUUUAGCAAACAAUAAAUUGAAUGGAGAAGACAAAGUAAUGAAAGGGAAAAGAGUUCCAAUGACCUAGAAAAUACAAGGCACAGUAUUAAUUUGCCAUGUUGACAUCACGAUUAACUCUUGGGUUAUCACCCACAGAUAUUAACAAAGAAGAUAUCUUUAAUUAGUGUAAAUUUUCAUGAGGUUAGUGACUGCUAGGAAAUAAAUGCUACCCAAAAUAAUACCAAGAUUUAACUCUGACAGAGGAUAUACCACCAAAGUGUCUAGAAAACCUAACACUAUCUUUGAUUCAGCAGUCAAUAUAUGUUCUGAAUCCUCAAUGGUUGUUAAGUUAUGUAAGUUAGGUCACCCAAGUGACAAUAGCAUCCCUAAAAAGAAAAUUACAGAAACAUAAUCCCUCUAGAUGCCCUUAAAGAAAGCUUUAAAAGGUCAUCCUAAUGAAGAAGAUGAAACACAGAAUAAAAUUUGAUGUCUACACUUGACAUGCAAUCUAAUUUCUCUCUUAACUAAAUUUUCUCAAAAGACAAUACGGAAAGAAGAAUGCAACUUGUAUUUGAUUUUAAAUUCAUAAACAUAAAACUUGAUGUAUAGUUUGAACCAUGAGAAAAGAUCAGGGAAUAUGAUAGAUAUUGGACCAAAAAAUAAACCAAAAAUAGCUUUUUAUUUUCAGAUAUUAAUGGAUUCUUGUUAUAAGCUCAUUGUUGUCAACAAGACAAUAUUAUAUUCCAUGUUCUAGUUGAAAAUUAAGGCACUAGGGUUGCAACCAAAUAUUUUUGGAUGCGGAUACACUACACCAAAAAUGGCCUCUAGUGAUGGAAAAAUUCUUCACAAGACAUAAAUGCAUGUCUGUAGUGUUGCUCUACAUCUACAUGAAUGCAUGUGAAAAGCCCCAACAAUAUAAACAAAAUAAGAUUUGAUUAAGCACAAAUGGAUGAACAAAGUGAAGUAAUUACAAAUAAAUAAACUAAGAUUAGAUGUCUUACUGAAUUGAAAGAGAGCAGGACAACAGCAGACCAACAACAGCCGCAUGAAAUAGACUACAACAGAAGAAAUAGCAAUGUUGUCAUGUAGCAUAUAAGUUGCAACAGCAACAGGUAGCAGGGAAACAGCAAGGCCCAAACAGCAUAUGCAUAAACCAACAACAGCAUAUAAUUGCAGAAGUAGACGAGCACCAAAUGAGUAGCAGCAUCACAGACACACCAUCAGCCUUAAAGCAGCUGUAAUUCGGUAACAUAGUAGACCCCCAUCAAACCAUACUAAGCCAAGAAAGAGUAGUAACAAUAACAGCCCAAACUUCCUUUGGGCAUAACCCAACCAAAACAAAGAGGAACGGGGGCUCAAACCUCAUAUAACACAGCAAACAGUACAAGCAAAAACCCAAAUUACAAGGCUAAAUAUCUAUAACAAGAUUAUUUUUAACUUUCUGAAAUUUAAUGUUAGUAUGAAGCACACAUUUUAUAAUCUGUAGAAUAUCUUGA